AGAACGAACGCUGGCGGCAGGCUUAACACAUGCAAGUCGAACGCACCGCAAGGUGAGUGGCAGACGGGUGAGUAACACGUGGGAACAUACCCUUCGGUUCGGAAUAACUUGGGGAAACUUAAGCUAAUACCGAAUACGGCCUGAGGCGAAUGAGUUUAUCGCCGAAGGAAUGGCCCGCGUCCGAUUAGCUAGUUGGUGUUGGUAACGGCUCACCAAGGCGACGAUCGGUAGCUGGUCUGAGAGGAUGACCAGCCACAUUGGGACUGAGACACGGCCCAAACUCCUACGGGAGGCAGCAGUGGGGAAUAUUGGACAAUGGGCGCAAGCCUGAUCCAGCCAUGCCGCGUGAGUGAUGAAGGCCUUAGGGUUGUAAAGCUCUUUCGCACGCGACGAUAAUGACGGUAGCGUGAGAAGAAGCCCCGGCUAACUUCGCGCCAGCAGCCGC
Molecule: ribosomal RNA, 445 nt
Filed under: uncultured bacterium
Lineage: Bacteria
Description: SSU rRNA
Rfam family: Bacterial small subunit ribosomal RNA
Source: RNAcentral